AACGAACGCUGGCGGCAUGCCUAACACAUGCAAGUCGAACGAACCCUUCGGGGUUAGUGGCGCACGGGUGCGUAACGCGUGGGAAUCUGCCCUUUGCUUCGGAAUAACAGUUAGAAAUGACUGCUAAUACCGGAUGAUGUCUUCGGACCAAAGAUUUAUCGGCAAGGGAUGAGCCCGCGUAGGAUUAGGUAGUUGGUGGGGUAAAGGCCUACCAAGCCGACGAUCCUUAGCUGGUUUGAGAGGAUGAUCAGCCACACUGGGACUGAGACACGGCCCAGACGCCUACGGGAGGCAGCAGUGGGGAAUAUUGGACAAUGGGCGCAAGCCUGAUCCAGAAAUGCCGCGUGAGUGAUGAAGGCCUUCGGGUCGUAAAGCUCUUUUACCAGGGAUGAUAAUGACAGUACCUGGAGAAUAAGCUCCGGCUAACUCCGUGCCAGCCGCCGCCGUAA
This 449-nucleotide ribosomal RNA is filed under the name uncultured bacterium. RNAcentral describes it as "partial 16S ribosomal RNA". It matches the Rfam family "Bacterial small subunit ribosomal RNA", at positions 29 to 523 of the family's 1533-position model. The record is from RNAcentral.